GAACGGUAGCACAGAGAGCUUGCUCUUGGGUGACGAGUGGCGGACGGGUGAGUAAUGUCUGGGAAACUGCCCGAUGGAGGGGGAUAACUACUGGAAACGGUAGCUAAUACCGCAUAACGUCUUCGGACCAAAGCGGGGGACCUUCGGGCCUCACACCAUCGGAUGUGCCCAGAUGGGAUUAGCUAGUAGGUGGGGUAAUGGCUCACCUAGGCGACGAUCCCUAGCUGGUCUGAGAGGAUGACCAGCCACACUGGAACUGAGACACGGUCCAGACUCCUACGGGAGGCAGCAGUGGGGAAUAUUGCACAAUGGGCGCAAGCCUGAUGCAGCCAUGCCGCGUGUAUGAAGAAGGCCUUCGGGUUGUAAAGUACUUUCAGCGGGGAGGAAGGCGAUACGGUUAAUAACCGUAUCGAUUGACGUNACCCGCAGAAGAAGCACCGGCUAACUCCGUG
RNAcentral lists this ribosomal RNA (452 nucleotides) under uncultured bacterium. Its description in RNAcentral is "bacterial SSU rRNA". It matches the Rfam family "Bacterial small subunit ribosomal RNA", at positions 64 to 507 of the family's 1533-position model. The record is from RNAcentral.